GAGAUGAGAUUUUUGAGAACUUAGGUGAAGAAAGGCCACUUUGAUAGAAAUCCAAAUAUUCUGUUUGGCAAGAGCCCAAUGGCUUUAAAAACACUUUCAGUUUUUGAUUAGGGUCUGACUAGCCAUUGAAAUGUGGGGAAUUUUAGAUAUGGGAUGAUAAAACCAGAAAAAUUUAGGGGAAUAUAGGCAAGCAAGUUCUAAUUCUCUAUGUAGUUUGUACACCAAAACUAAUGGGAAAGUCUGACACAAAGGUCAAAAGAUAGGCUCAUAUGUUCUGAGAAGGUUUUCACUCCUCAAAAGUCAGAAAAAAUGAAAACAUUUCUAAUUUUACCUUUCUUUGAGACACAGUCUUUGUGUCUCAACUGCAUACUUCUAUAUUUUUUCAUAUAUUUUUCCUUGUCCUUUUCUGUGUUUGUACCUGCAUGGGUAUGUUUUGUAUAAUUGCAUCCAAGGUCAACCAGCUUAAACCUAAUGUCUGAGUUGACAUUAAGGAUUUACUGCUUUUGGCUUUCCUGAAGAUUUCUAUUUCUCUUUUGCUCAUAUUAAAUUUAGAGAACAAUACUUUUUUAACACUACCCACAGUUUCAUUUUUUCCAUUUUCUAAUAUUUUGUUUACAAUAAAGGCAAUUUGGAAGACUGAUUUGAAAAGAUACAUGCACCCCAAUGUUCAUUGUGGCACCAUUUACAAUAGCCAAGACAUGUAAACAACUUAAAUACCUAAAUGUCCAUUGACAGAUGAAUGGAUAAAGAGAUAUGGGGUGUGUGUGUGGGUGUGUGUGUGUGUGUGUGUGUGUGUGUGUGUAAUGGAAUACUAUUCAGCUGUAAAAAAAGAAUGAAAAUAAUGCCAUUUGCAGCAAUAUGGGUGUUAAGUGAAGUAAGUCAGACAGAGACAAAUAUCAUUGGAUAUCACUUAUAUGUGGAAUCUAAAAAAUAUAGAUUAUUUAUAUUGCCAGUUGCCUUCUGUGGUAGCCAGCCUCCAAGAUGGCCUCCAAAUACCCACCUCCUGGUGUUCGAGCCUUCAUGUAAGCCCCUGCUACCCUGUGCCAGGGUGGUCUGUGUAAGCAAUAAGAUAUAGCAUAAGUAAAGGAAUGUUAUAAAAGACUGUGACUUCCAUGGUGGCCAUGUUGUGUCUGUCAGUCUGUUUCUCUCUUGUGCGCACACACACACACACACACACACACACACACACACACACACAGAGUUUCUCUCUCUUUCUCUCUCUUUGCUUACUUACUCUGAGGGAAACAAGGCCUGUUGUGAGCAGCCUUAGGGAGAGGCCCGGAAGGUAAGGAAAUGGAAUUUCUAGUAACAGCCAGCAAGGAACUGAGGCCUGUCAACUGUCGUGUGUGUGUGCUUGAAAUGGAUCCUGAGCCUUCAGGUAACAGCAGCCCUGGCUGACAACUUGAUUGUAAUUUCAUGAACAACUCUGAACCAGAACCCCCAGGUGAGCAGUUUCUGCAUCUUCUUCCUUAGAAACUGUCAGAUCAUAUGUGUUUAUUACUUUAAGCUGGAAAUUUGGGGGCUAAUUUGCUGUAGAGCAAUAGAUAACUAAUACAUAUACUCAACUAAUACAUAUACUCAACUAAUACACUUCUUCCUUUUUUUCUUGCUAACAGGUCUCAAAUUUCUUUCAAAGCAUCAAAGUGCUCAGGAUAAAACAAAACAAACAAACAAAAAAAACAACCAACCAACCACACAAAAGUUAUCCAAGAAGAAAGGAACCAGACUGCUGGACUUGGCCAAGAAUAAAUGGAACUAGAGUUUCAACAUCUUCCUACCCUGUAAAGUUGCAAAUCUGUAGCCUUUGAAAACUGUGAAGAUGGGAAAUGUAGCAAACUGAAUUGAACAUUUACCAACAAUUGUUUGGAGAAUUCUCCUGCGUUUUUGGGUAAGAAACUGUUUACAGCCAUGAUUAUAAGAACCCUCCUUUUUAUUCUCCUUAGUAAACUGGGGCUGCCAAAGUCUGAAGUUCUCUUAUCUGCUCAGACAUUCUUUGAUCCACCCACCUUAAACAGAACAGGAAAAAGGGUUUGUUUUGGUCUUGUUUUUAAGCAUUGUCACACCCUAAGUGGAAAAAUUUUAGAUUGUGUAUUAGACUAGACAAAUUAAAAACACCUAAAAAUAACACCUCAAAAUAUGUUUAUAAGAUAAUGUGGAAAUGAAUAAAAAAGUGAAUUCACUCUUGGGUUACAAAAAAUAACAAAAAAUUGUCUUACUGAGGAAACUCCUUUCUUAUAUUCUUGCCUUCUUCAAUUCCUUCCCUACUUUUUCACGGUCAUUUAAAAUCAUGAUUAAUCUAUUGAAAUCAACAAAAUAUAUUAAAAUCAACUUGUAACUCUUAAAAGUCUUUUAUAUUAGGACUUUAAAAAAAUUACAUCAGCUCAGUUAUUUUGAUACUAAAAUAUUCUGGGGGGGGUUAGGGGAGAUUAAGAAGUGAUCUAUAGAACCAAAGAAACUGCUUAAAAGAUAAUGAAAAUUAAAUUAAUUUCCUGCUGAGCAGUAAUCCUAAGAGAGAGCAAAACAUACCUCCCAAAGAAGUUUUUACCACAUGCCCAUUUUCCUUAGAAUAAAGUAAACUAGCAAGGGAUUCUGAACUUUUAAUCAAUUCUUUGGCAUUUUCCCAGUAUCUGGUGGUAUAUUCUUUUCCUUUUCUUUCUUUUUCCUUCCUUCCUUCCCUCCCUCCUUCCUUCCUCCUUCCUUCCUUCCUUUCCUCCUUUCUUCUUUUCUUUUCCCUUCCUUCCCUCUCUCCCUCCUUCCCUCUCUCCUUCCCUCCCUCCCUCCAUCCCUUCUUUCUUCCUCCCUCCUUUCUUUCUUUCUUUCUUUCUUUCUUCCUUCCUUCCUUCCUUCCUUCCUUCCUUCCUUCCUUCCUCCUUCCUUCCUUCCUUCCUUCCUUCUCUUGACUGUGCCUUUGGCAUGCAGAAGUUCCAGGGCUGGGAUCAAACCCAUGCCACAACAGUGACCCAAGUGCUUACAGUGACAGCCCUGGAUCCUUAGUCUGCUGCACCACAAGGGAAAUCCCAUAAUGGUGUAUUCUUAAUAGAAGAACUAUUAAACUAUUUGGAGCUAACUAAUUAUAUUGAAAACAUGAUCAACCUUUAAUUAACAAAUGCAUAAGAAUGAAGAAAUUGAAACUGAAUAGGUGCUAGGACUUCUGAAACCUAAUUAGAAUUGAAAUGAGGCAGAAACAUAAAUCAUUGCUGCUAAGUAAGGACUCACACUGUCUUACUUUGAAAGGUGGGAAUGAACUCUUGAUAGAAUCUUUGUUUUGUUUUUUUAAUCACUUGGGUAAAUUAAAGGACCUCCCAUGUAAAUCAUUUUUCAAUUGGCCCAAAACCCAAAUUCAAGUUCUUAUAAUGCUUGGAGAUAAUUCUUCUGACCCAAAGUAAAAGUUAGUAGAAUAGAGCAUUUUCAGGUUGUGAUGUUAGAUACAUUAAUAUGACAUUUAGGUGCUAUUUUUCAAAAAAUGUAGCUAUAAGAUUUUUCCUCUGCACUACAACUCUGUUAAAAUUUCCAGUGGAAAGGAAGCCAUGACUUAGAUUGCUAGAUGGGUUUUGGUGUCAAUCCUGAGCAGAAUCUUGGCUUUACUACAUUUUAGUUUUGUGACCAUAGGCUAUUUAACUUCAAUGAGACACAGUUUCUCAUCUAUAAAAUGGAUCUAAUAGUAACUUUUUAUGAUAUUGUGUGAGAAUUGAAUGAGAAAAUAUGUAAAUCACUUGCUUAGCAGAGGUCAUUUCCUCAUUGUCCUCUUCCAUUACUCACAGUAUUUUAAAUUUCUAACACUUAGAAUUCUCACACAGUACCAACCAAAGUACUUCCUUGGGAUUCUCUGGGGUCUUUCUUCUCUUGGGAUCUCUUAUAUCCUUCUUCCUUGGAUGUCCUUUUUCAGCCCCAUUCUUCCCUUCUUCAUCCUGUCUUCAAUGUCAGUACUAUUUAACCUUUCAUUCUGGUUUUCUGCAGACAUCCACCAUGACUUUCUUCCUCUUUUCUUCUCUGCAGUGAAAUAACUUCUUUGAUCCUUAAUGCCUUCUCAUUCUCUAAGAACAAUUCAGGUAUAUAUAUUACUUGUAAAAACAUUUUGGCAUUACAAAUACUUUUCAAGGAAAAAAAAAAUCCACUCAUGUUCUCUUUCAGUCCCUGCCAUAUGUUUACAUUUAAAAAAUUCAAUUUGUACAUAGCAAGAUGAAACUGUUUGUGAGAUGGUAUGGUGCAAUGGCUAGAACACAGGAAGCGAGAAGCCAGUUCCUGUUCUGUUCUAGUGACCCUUAGUGGGUCCAUUUACUUCUUGAGCUCUCAUGUACUUCAACUCUAAAAUGACACAGUGGGAGAAAUUCCUGAGAUCGCUUUAACUCUGAAAAUAGUCUAAGAAUUGCUAUAUUUGUAAAAUGGGAAUGUUCUCCCAAUACUGCCUAACCCAAGAGUGAGGCUGACCACAGUAUCAUUAUUCAAUUUUCUCCCUUGGUUCCUAUGCACGAGCGCAGAAAAUAAGCAAGGGAUAGAACCCUGCAGGCACAGAUAGGAGUACUUUCUGCCAAGUGGAUAAUUGCCUCUUGGCCUUCUCCCAUGGGGGCCUCUUGCUGUCUAGCUAUACUGAUGCCUUUGGGUGGUUCCAUCUCUCCUGCCUGGGUCUCCUUAUCACAGAUCUGUAACUGCCCUACAAUGACUUUGUGAAAUGGCUGGAUUAAAGCUUCAAGCUUUGCCCUGGAAGAGAACAGGUCUAUUGGUCUGUGCUGGAGACAGUCUCCACAUAUCUCUGUGUUGCAAUGAGAAGCAGAGGACGGGUCCAAUCUGCUGGGUAUGUCAGCUCUGAAGGGGUGGAGGGGAGAAGGUCAGAAACAAACACGCUUAGAAAAAUGUCCCCAUUUAUCCACUUCCUGAUUUGGUUUGUUUUCAGAGUAUUGUCAGAUGCUUCCCUUCCCCCUAAUGACAGUGAACUGAAGAGCCAGCAGGACAGAGGUUUCUGUGUUAAGACAUGAAUGUGAAGUCUUACUGUAUUUUGAGUACUUAAGGAAAAGCUAAUGGGAACUUUCCAGGGAAGAUGGUGGGUGUUAUUAACAUGGAAAUAUGUAUGAGGAUUCCUAAAUGGAGUCUUUAUAGGCUGGAGUUGGAGGCUAAUAAGACCCUGGCUGGUAGCGGGUAGGCAGGGUGUGGGACUGGGUAGGGGUGGGGAGAAAGGGUAGUGAAGAAAGCUUUCUUUUGGAAUCUGGGGACUCCGUGGGCCUGUUUAAAGGGGAGACUGAGCAACACAGAGGAGGUGCUAGAGAAACCACAAUGACUGAACAGCUAUAGGACAGGAGGGAGGCCACUGGCCAGGGCAAAAAUGAGAACCUGUGAGUGGAGGUGGAAGAUCCUAGGAGUUAUUUAUUUUAAGAAAGUGAUUCCUGAAGGGAAGGGCAACACUGGGAAGAACUUGUGAAUUGAAGGGAAAGUGGCCUCUGGGAGUCCCAGAGAGUGAUCUACAUUCAAACCUGAGCCAAGGCAAUCAGGAUAAUGGUCGGCUUGGCCCCCUCACCUCCAGGCCUCUAACUUCUGCAGCUAAGGCCACAGCUGUCCAGCCUGCCCAAAGUUCUAGAGCCAACCCUGUUUUUACAGAGAAACAAGAACUGAGAGUUCUAGUCUGUUGCCAUCGUGGGGACCCUGCUUUUUACUGCAGGGCCUACUCUGACUGGUAACUGUCCUUUUGUUUCCUUUUGACUUAGCUUCUGUUGUGGGUCCCAGGAGCUGCCUCUUUUUCUUAGAAUAAUAUUGUCCCUAUCAUAUUUAAUAACCCUACAAGAAAGGUAAUAUUAUUCCCAUUCUGCAGAUGAGAAAACUGAGGUGUAGACGGUUUGGUUUGGUUUUUCGCAGCCCCCAAAUCAUGGCUCACAGCCAGGAUUCAAUCCAGGCAGUUUAUCACCAGAGCCCAAUUUGGACACACCAGGCCGCCCUGCUUCUCCAUCCAAUCUCCACCUUGGUUAUUUGCCUGCCACUCUGAUUGUACUGAGAUGGCCUAGAUUUAUACUCUAGUCUUUCUUUUGAACAUCUUCAGCAUGCCUGCCUCCUUCAUCUUUCUUUGAUAAUACCCAGCUCUAUGGUUGGCCUGCUUCCUGGGUCUUGACUAUUUCAUGUUUACUGGUCCUUCAGCUUAUGAAGAACCCUGCUGGUGGCCGCUGAGAUCUCCUAAGAGACAUGACUGAACUUGAUUCUCUCUGACUUUGCUUACUCUUCAGUACAGUUGCGUCGUGCUGGUGUAGUCACUGCAGACAGACUGGAAGCCGAGUUUGGCUGGAUAAGAUGAACACUCAGGGUAUGAAGUUAGCUGGAAUGUGAAUCAGGCCUCAGCAGCCCCAGGUAGAAACCAGUCAUGUGGGUUUGAUGUCUAGAAGAGCUGGGAAAGGACCUCUUACCCCUUAGUGGUGAACUGGGGUCAAUUAUUGAAAUCCACAACAUGGCUUGAAGGAUUCAACCCUUCAGCUUGCACGUGACUUUCCUUGGAGCACAGUGCCCGGUGGUGCUGUAGCUCUGACUUGCUGUUUUGGUUAAGGGAGAGGUUCUCAACCUUAUUAUUCAUCACGGCCACCUGCAGAGCUCCUGAGAACUGCUGAAGCCAUCCCCAAAGUUCAGUUUUAGAUGGUAUAGGUUGACUUACAGGCAUCCACAGUUUUACACUAAAGUGCUGCAGAGGAGUGUAAUGCUAACCAUGGUUGCUAACCAUUCACACGCUGGGUGGUUCUUAGCCUGAGGGUAUCACCAGUGAAGAAGUCUCUAGUGUGGCUCUUCCUUGUGAACCCUGGAUGUUGUGGAAUAUAAAUCUGAUCAAUGAAGGAGGGCUGUGUAGGUUCCUUAAGUUGUUUAGGACCGCUAGAGGAAGCAUACCACGGAAGCAUACCACGUGCUUAAAAGAUGCUAGGAGAGAGGAUUAAGAUGGCAGAAUAGAAGGACUAGAGCUCAACUUCUCUCCUAAAAACAACAAAAUUCACAUCUAAAAGCUGAGCAAUCCCCACCCAAAUGGACCGGAAACCUUAAAAAAGAUACCCUACUCCAGAAGAAAAAGAGGAGGCCACAUCAAGAGGUAGAAGGGGUGAUUUCGUGAUAUAAACAACCCCAUACCUCCCAGGUGGGAAGCUCCACAGACUGAAAACUAACUGGUUCACAGAGAGAGACUCACCUACAGGAGUGAGAGUUCUGAGCCCCACAUCAAACCCUCAUGUGCAGAGAUCUGGCACUGGGAGAAAGAGCCUGUGGAGCAUCUGGCAUUGAAGGCCAGUGGGGCUUGUGCACAGGAGCUCCACAGGACUGGGGGAAACAGAGACCCCAUUCUUAAAAGGCACACAUGGACUUUCACAUGCACUGGAUCCCAGGGCAGAGCAAGGUCUUCAUAGGAAUCUGGGUCAAACCUGACUGCAGUUCUUGGAGGACAUCCUGGGAAAACAGGGGUGAAUGUGGCUCGUUGUGAGGGAGGGACAUUGAAAGCAAAGCUCUCUGGAAUAUUCAGCAGCCAUGCCUUUCUCUGGAGGUGGCCAUUUUGGGAAAAUCUGCCCCCACCCAUCAGUCAGCACUGAGAAGCCCCAGGGCAAACAACAACCCAGAUGGGAUCACAGCCCCGCCCCUCAGUAAACAGGCUACCUAAAGACCCCUCAGGCACACAGCUGCCUCUAAUCCCAUCCAGAACUAAGCCCCACCCACCAGAGGGAUUAGAAUCAGCUCCACCUACCAGUGGGCAGGCAUCAGCCCCUCCCAUCAAGAAGCCUACAGCAAGCCCCCCCACCAACUUCAGCUACAAGGGGGGCAGACACCAGAAGUAAGUGAAACCACAACCCUAUUAUCUGUAAAAAGGUCACCACACCAAAAACCUAUAAAAAUGAAAAGACAGAGCACUAUAACUCAGAAGAGGGAGAAAGAAAAACCCCUGAAAAUCAGCUAAGCAAGGAGGAGAUUCUCAGCCUCCAGGAAAAAGACUUUAGAUUGUUGAUGCUGAAGAUGAUGCAAGGCAUUGGAUAUAAACUGGAGGCAAAGAUGGAUAACUUACAGGAAACCCUGACCAAAGAGAUACAAGAUAUAAAACUUAAACAAGAAGAUAUGCAAAAUAC
RNAcentral lists this long non-coding RNA (8066 nucleotides) under Sus scrofa (pig). RNAcentral's name for it is "lncRNA (ENSSSCG00055016161.1)". The record is from RNAcentral. Lineage: Eukaryota; Metazoa; Chordata; Mammalia; Artiodactyla; Suidae.